This 736-nucleotide long non-coding RNA is filed under the name Cyanistes caeruleus (blue tit). Its description in RNAcentral is "lncRNA (ENSCCEG00000019597.1)". Lineage: Eukaryota; Metazoa; Chordata; Aves; Passeriformes; Paridae. The record is from RNAcentral.
GCCUGUGAAGGUAAUUUGUCUGUGAAGGGAUCUCUCUGGCUUCAGCCUUCCCUGGCAGCUUUUCUGGGGGAUGUUUCCCCCUGUGUCAGGGAGGGAAUUCGGAGCAGCUGUGUGACACAGCACAGGUCACCCACCACAGCAGCAAACGAGGAUGAACUGUGACACCACAGCAAUAUUCCCUGGCUGGUGAGUGCCAUGCUAAAUGCACUUAUGGAGCCAGGGGAACACUCACUACAACUUUAGGAGGAAAGAAGCAACUGUUCUACUAAUGUGAUUUGAUUAAUUAGCUGUAGCAAUUACUGUGUGGAAACCAUGCACAACCCCUGGAUAUUCCAUUUCCUUUGUUAUUAUUUAUAAAGCUUUCAGAAUCCUUUGUCUUCUUCUAGGGGGAAUAUUUAGAUGGAAGUAAAGAGGGCCAGCCCAGCUUGGAAAGUGUGGGAAGGCUCCAAGACAUUUUGUGUGCUCUUCCAGAACCAUUUCUGAGACCUGGCAGGGGAUGGAAUUUGAGUUGUUAUUUGUGACACAUCUGAACAAAAUCUCUGAGAAUCUGAUAUUGGAGCAAAAGUGAACUUCUUAAGCCAAAUUCUCCUGAGAAACAGCUCGUUCUGCUUUGGAGUCUAUUUCUGUUCCAUUGGAGGAGAAGGAUAAGCCUAUUCUUAAACCAGUGCUCAGAUAAGUUCUGGCAUAUUUUACCCAUCACUGAUCAAGCACUUCAUCUAAUUAGCUCUGUAAUGAA